UCUAAGUCAGAAUCCGUGCUAGAAACGAUGAUGUUGGUGUCGCACAUUAGACUUGUGUUUAAAUAGAGCUUUGCUCGUGAACCAAAUAUGGUGGGCUGGGUUGUCUUUGCGGAAACGCUUAGGCGACUUGUCUACGAAUUGUAAUCAUAAUAUGGGCGGCGGUGAAUCCUUUGCAGACGACUUGAAUGGGAACGGGGUACUGUAAGUGGUAGAGUAGCCUUGUUGCUACGAUCCACUGAGGUUAAGCCCUUGUUCUAAAGAUUUGUUC
Molecule: ribosomal RNA, 268 nt
Filed under: Armillaria ostoyae
Lineage: Eukaryota; Fungi; Basidiomycota; Agaricomycetes; Agaricales; Physalacriaceae
Description: partial 26S ribosomal RNA
Rfam family: Eukaryotic large subunit ribosomal RNA
Source: RNAcentral